RNAcentral lists this long non-coding RNA (566 nucleotides) under Pongo abelii (Sumatran orangutan). Its description in RNAcentral is "lincRNA". The record is from RNAcentral. Lineage: Eukaryota; Metazoa; Chordata; Mammalia; Primates; Hominidae.
AUUCAAAGCCUUUGUUACACUAUUUAUGACUCACACUUAGUAAUGCUCACCCAAUUACCUUUCCUAGUAUAUCUUCAUCUUGUUUAAGUGUAUGAGAACUGCUUUGGAGAUUCUAAUAAGUCCAAAUGAGCAUUAAAAAGGAGAGAGAGUAGGAGAAGUAUCUCUUGAGAAAGAUUAAAAAGCGAGCACAGGCUGAGUGUAGUGGGUCACACCUGUAGUCUCAGCACUUUGGGAGGUCGAGGUAGGCAGAUUGCUGGAGCUCAGGAGUUCGAGACCAGCCUGGACAACAUGGCAAAAUCCUGUUUCUACAAAAGGACUGUUUUGUAUUUGAUUGGGAAGUGUUAGAAUGGCAACAGUGACAAAUCCUGCGGCAAAUCUUCUUGCAAAGGCCUUUGGUGUUUCUUUCAUUUCAUAUAUGUUACCUACUAUGUGACAAGCACACUGUGCCAGGUUCCAAAUAUAAAAAGAGUAAAUUAAGGAAUGCAUUAUAGCUGUUAAAGCAAUCUUAAGGGAAAUCCGAAGCUUCCACUGCAGCACCAUGCUUAGUAAAACCAACUGGAUAAUAU